Pieris rapae (cabbage white) is the source of this 535-nucleotide long non-coding RNA. RefSeq lists it as uncharacterized. Lineage: Eukaryota; Metazoa; Arthropoda; Insecta; Lepidoptera; Pieridae. The transcript has 2 exons. The record is from RefSeq and is a predicted model, not a curated record.
UAAAAUAGAAUAUUUUUUUAUGAAAUUGGCAUUUGAUAACGAUCAUAAUCCGAUAAAUCUUCAAUAUAAAUGUUGCCGCUUUGUAAAUAUCGCCAGUUAUAGAUUCAAUAACCAUUGAUUGCGCAUCGACUGUGAUCAAGAGUAUUAUUAGUACCUAUCAAUCGCUUUUUAAUACUUAUUACUACAUAAAUACUAUAACAAUGAACCGUCCAAACAAUAUGCCUGGAGCUUUCACCGUCCAAGGAUACUCUAUCGCACCAAACCCCUGCUUUGGACCAAGCAGAUGCUCAGUCAACCCACAUUUUGGGGUACCUGCCAAUCCAUCACCACACUACAACACUUGCUUCGUCUCUGCAUCCUCACUUAGGAAAGCGUACCCACAGAUGACUCAACCUAGACAUAAUUGUUUUAAGUAAUUUGCCUCGAUGAAGGUUAUGUUGAAUCUCGAUUUUUGGAAUAUAUUAGGUAUAUAUAUACAUAAGUAUGUUAAGUUUUUACUAAUUUCUAAGAUAUAUAAUAAACCUAUUAACUCUUA